Molecule: ribosomal RNA, 520 nt
Filed under: uncultured Glomus
Lineage: Eukaryota; Fungi; Glomeromycota; Glomeromycetes; Glomerales; Glomeraceae
Description: SSU rRNA
Rfam family: Eukaryotic small subunit ribosomal RNA
Source: RNAcentral
AGCAGCCGCGGUAAUUCCAGCUCCAAUAGCGUAUAUUAAAGUUGUUGCAGUUAAAAAGCUCGUAGUUGAAUUUCGAGAUCAAUUUGUUGGUCGUGCCUCGGUACGUACUGGCAAUUUUGAUUUCUCCCUUCUGAAGAACCAUGAUGUCAUUAAUUUGGUGUCAUGGGGAAUCAGGACCGUUACUUUGAAAAAUUAGAGUGUUUAAAGCAGGCUCGCGCUUGAAUACAUUAGCAUGGAAUAAUGAAAUAGGACGUUUGAUUCUAUUUUGUUGGUUUCUAGGAUCGACGUAAUGAUUAAUAGGGAUAGUUGGGGGCAUUAGUAUUCAAUUGUCAGAGGUGAAAUUCUUGGAUUUAUUGAAGACUAACUACUGCGAAAGCAUUUGCCAAGGAUGUUUUCAUUAAUCAAGAACGAAAGUUAGGGGAUCGAAGACGAUCAGAUACCGUCGUAGUCUUAACCAUAAACUAUGCCGACUAGGGAUCGGAUGAUGUUAAUUUUUAAUGUACUCAUUCGGCGCCUUACG